RNAcentral lists this transfer RNA (72 nucleotides) under Togoperla limbata. RNAcentral describes it as "tRNA-Asp". The record is from RNAcentral. Lineage: Eukaryota; Metazoa; Arthropoda; Insecta; Plecoptera; Perlidae.
AAAGAAUUAGUUAAACAUAUAACUUUAGUAUGUCAUGCUAACAUUACUGGCUCAAAAUCCUAGUAUUCUUUA